Cyprinus carpio (common carp) is the source of this 463-nucleotide long non-coding RNA. RefSeq lists it as uncharacterized. The transcript has 3 exons. NCBI's taxonomy places the organism in Eukaryota, Metazoa, Chordata, Actinopteri, Cypriniformes, Cyprinidae. The record is from RefSeq and is a predicted model, not a curated record.
GUCCUUAAAAACUUCUGCUGAAGAUCGUCCAGUUCAGCAGGCAGAGGGAUAUUCAACUCCUGAUUCAGAGCCAAUGCCUCAAAACAGUCCUCCAACUUCUGAAAAGCAGGCCUGAAGAAGACAGGAAGAGGAAAGAGGGGCAGGCCAGGAGCUCAGGGGGACGCAGUGCGUCAUCAAUCCCCCGUUUUAGCCCCGCCCAAAAAAUCCGGAUCACAGCAAUGGGACUUUAAACUCUCAGACAAUGGUAAAAUCACUCAUGUUGUUUCAAGUCAGGAAAGGAGGUAGACAGCCACCAACUCUGAACCAAAGCUAAGUCCAAGCAUCCCAGCAGGAAAUCGUCUUCAGGCCAUAUUACAGAAGUACAAUGAUCUUUAUUUCCACAAUGAGGAAACACGAAUACUCUCCAGUGCUGAAGGGAUUAACAAUUAAUCUUUUUAAAUACCCAUAUUAAAAUUGAUUUGGC